GGACGAACGCUGGCGGCGUGCUUAACACAUGCAAGUCGAACGGAAAGGCCCUGCUUUUGUGGGGUGCUCGAGUGGCGAACGGGUGAGUAACACGUGAGUAACCUGCCCUUGACUUUGGGAUAACUUCAGGAAACUGGGGCUAAUACCGGAUAGGAGCUCCUGCUGCAUGGUGGGGGUUGGAAAGUUUCGGCGGUUGGGGAUGGACUCGCGGCUUAUCAGCUUGUUGGUGGGGUAGUGGCUUACCAAGGCUUUGACGGGUAGCCGGCCUGAGAGGGUGACCGGCCACAUUGGGACUGAGAUACGGCCCAGACUCCUACGGGAGGCAGCAGUGGGGAAUAAUGCACAAUGGGCGGAAGCCUGAUGCAGCAACGCCGCGUGCGGGAUGACGGCCUUCGGGUUGUAAACCGCUUUCGCCUGUGACGAAGCGUGAGUGACGGUAAUGGGUAAAGAAGCACCGGCUAACUACGUG
Molecule: ribosomal RNA, 469 nt
Filed under: uncultured bacterium
Lineage: Bacteria
Description: partial 16S ribosomal RNA
Rfam family: Bacterial small subunit ribosomal RNA
Source: RNAcentral